GUCCGGAACCUGUGCAAUUGCAGACCGCGAACCGCGUCAGGGCCGGAAGGCAGCAGCGCUAAGCGGACCCUGUAAUGUGCCGCAGGUCACUCCGGAUCGC
Molecule: signal recognition particle RNA, 100 nt
Filed under: Acidobacteriota bacterium
Lineage: Bacteria; Pseudomonadati; Acidobacteriota
Description: Acidobacteria bacterium signal recognition particle sRNA small type
Rfam family: Bacterial small signal recognition particle RNA
About the family: The signal recognition particle (SRP) is a universally conserved ribonucleoprotein involved in the co-translational targeting of proteins to membranes. Archaeal SRP consists of a 7S RNA and homologues of the eukaryotic SRP19 and SRP54 proteins.
Source: RNAcentral